AGAAUCAACGCUGGCGGCGUGCCUAACACAUGCAAGUCGAACGAGAAAGUGGAGCAAUCCAUGAGUAAAGUGGCGCACGGGUGAGUAACACGUGACUAACCUACCCUUGAGUGGGGAAUAACCUAGGGAAACCUGGGCUAAUACCGCAUAACACCUACGGGUCAAAGGAGCAAUUCGCUUAAGGAGGGGGUCGCGGCAGAUUAGCUAGUUGGCGGGGUAAUGGCCCACCAAGGCAGUGAUCUGUAUCCGGCCUGAGAGGGCGCACGGACACACUGGAACUGAAACACGGUCCAGACUCCUACGGGAGGCAGCAGUGGGAAUUUUGCGCAAUGGGGGAAACCCUGACGCAGCAACGCCGCGUGGAGGAUGAAGUCCCUUGGGACGUAAACUCCUUUCGACCGGGAAGAUUAUGACGGUACCGGAAGAAGAAGCCCCGGCUAACUUCGCGCCAGCAGCCGC
Molecule: ribosomal RNA, 459 nt
Filed under: uncultured bacterium
Lineage: Bacteria
Description: SSU rRNA
Rfam family: Bacterial small subunit ribosomal RNA
Source: RNAcentral